UACGGAGGUGGCGAGCGUUGUCCGAAGUUACUGGGCGUAAAGCGCGCGUAGGCGGGUUUCUAAGUCUGCUGUGAAAGCCCGGGGCUCAACCCCGGCGGGUCGGCGGAUACUGGGAGCCUUGAAGGUGCUAGGGGGGAGUGGAAUUGCUGGUGUAGCGGUGAAAUGCGUAGAUAUCAGCAGGAACACCCGUGGCGAAGGCGGCUCCCUGGGGCACUCUUGACGCUGAGGCGCGAAAGCUGGGGGAGCGAACGGG
Molecule: ribosomal RNA, 253 nt
Filed under: uncultured bacterium
Lineage: Bacteria
Description: partial 16S ribosomal RNA
Rfam family: Bacterial small subunit ribosomal RNA
Source: RNAcentral